UACGUAGGGGGCAAGCGUUGUCCGGAAUCAUUGGGCGUAAAGAGCGUGUAGGCGGCCCGAUAAGUCCGCUGUGAAAGUCCAGGGCUCAACCCUGGGAUGCCGGUGGAUACUGUCGGGCUCGAGUCCGGAAGAGGAGUGUGGAAUUCCUGGUGUAGCGGUGAAAUGCGCAGAUAUCAGGAGGAACACCAAUGGCGAAGGCAGCGCUCUGGGACGUGUCUGACGCUGAGACGCGAAAGCGUGGGGAGCAAACAGG
This 253-nucleotide ribosomal RNA is filed under the name uncultured bacterium. RNAcentral describes it as "partial 16S ribosomal RNA". It matches the Rfam family "Bacterial small subunit ribosomal RNA", at positions 524 to 776 of the family's 1533-position model. The record is from RNAcentral.